GAAGCACCGGCUAACUCCGUGCCAGCAGCCGCGGUAAUACGGAGGGUGCGAGCGUUAUCGGAAUUACUGGGCGUAAAGCGCAUGCAGGUGGAUGAUUAAGUCAGAUGUGAAAGCCCGGGGCUCAACCUCGGAAUAGCAUUUGAAACUGGUCAUCUAGAGUACUGUAGAGGGGGGUAGAAUUUCAGGUGUAGCGGUGAAAUGCGUAGAGAUCUGAAGGAAUACCGGUGGCGAAGGCGGCCCCCUGGACAGAUACUGACACUCAGAUGCGAAAGCGUGGGGAGCAAACAGGAUUAGAUACCCUGGUAGUCCACGCCGUAAACGAUGUCUACUUGGAGGUUGUGGCCUUGAGCCGUGGCUUUCGGAGCUAACGCGUUAAGUAGACCGCCUGGGGAGUACGGUCGCAAGAUUAAAACUCAAAUGAAUUGACGGGGGCCCGCACAAGCGGUGGAGCAUGUGGUUUAAUUCGAUGCAACGCGAAGAACCUUACCUACUCUUGACAUCCAUAGAACUUUCCAGAGAUGGAUUGGUGCCUUCGGGAACUAUGAGACAGGUGCUGCAUGGCUGUCGUCAGCUCGUGUUGUGAAAUGUUGGGUUAAGUCCCGCAACGAGCGCAACCCUUAUCCUUGUUUGCCAGCACUUCGGGUGGGAACUCCAGGGAGACUGCCGGUGAUAAACCGGAGGAAGGUGGGGACGACGUCAAGUCAUCAUGGCCCUUACGAGUAGGGCUACACACGUGCUACAAUGGCGCAUACAGAGGGCGGCCAACUUGCGAAAGUGAGCGAAUCCCAAAAAGUGCGUCGUAGUCCGGAUUGGAGUCUGCAACUCGACUCCAUGAAGUCGGAAUCGCUAGUAAUCGUGGAUCAGAAUGCCACGGUGAAUACGUUCCCGGGCCUUGUACACACCGCCCGUCACACCAUGGGAGUGGGCUGCAAAAGAAGUGGGUAGUUUAACCUUCGGGGGGACGCUCACC
This 970-nucleotide ribosomal RNA is filed under the name Vibrio sp. PaD1.20a. RNAcentral's name for it is "bacterial SSU rRNA". It matches the Rfam family "Bacterial small subunit ribosomal RNA", at positions 487 to 1458 of the family's 1533-position model. Lineage: Bacteria; Pseudomonadati; Pseudomonadota; Gammaproteobacteria; Vibrionales; Vibrionaceae. The record is from RNAcentral.